GACGAACGCUGGCGGCGUGCCUAACACAUGCAAGUGGAGCGACGAACCAGGGCUUGCCCUGGGGCGAAGCCGCGAACGGGUGAGUAACACGUGGGCAAUCUGCCCCGAUGACCGGGACAACCCGAGGAAACUCGGGCUAAUACCGGAUGUGCUCCUGGUCCAUGAGGACCUUGAGUAAAGGAAGCUUCGGCCUCCGCAUCGGGAGGAGCUCGCGGCCCAUUAGCUAGUUGGUGAGGAACGGCUCACCAAGGCCUCGAUGGGUAGCUAGUCUGAGAGGACGAAUAGCCACACUGGGACUGAGACACGGCCCAGACUCCUACGGGAGGCAGCAGUGGGGAAUCUUGCGCAAUGCGCGAAAGCGUGAACGCAGCAACGCCGCGUGGGGGAAGA
RNAcentral lists this ribosomal RNA (390 nucleotides) under uncultured bacterium. Its description in RNAcentral is "bacterial SSU rRNA". It matches the Rfam family "Bacterial small subunit ribosomal RNA", at positions 28 to 411 of the family's 1533-position model. The record is from RNAcentral.